GCACCCAUAGCACAACUGGAUAAUGCGUCACCCUCCGAAGGUGAAGAUUGUGGGUUCGAAUCCCGCUGGGUGCGCCA
RNAcentral lists this transfer RNA (77 nucleotides) under Alphaproteobacteria bacterium. Its description in RNAcentral is "tRNA-Arg". It matches the Rfam family "tRNA". Rfam says of the family: Transfer RNA (tRNA) molecules are approximately 80 nucleotides in length. The record is from RNAcentral. Lineage: Bacteria; Pseudomonadati; Pseudomonadota; Alphaproteobacteria.